This 785-nucleotide small RNA is filed under the name Arabidopsis thaliana (thale cress). Its description in RNAcentral is "ATSL081420". The record is from RNAcentral. Lineage: Eukaryota; Viridiplantae; Streptophyta; Magnoliopsida; Brassicales; Brassicaceae.
UAUCAUUAUAAGCAAAUGGAGAAAGACCAACAUAUAUAUAAACUUGAUCGUAUAUGUUAAGUUAUAACCACCAGCACUUUGCACUAAGAAUGCAUUGAUGAUAUUAAUAAGUAAAAUGAAGCAAGUUUAGUUUAUUACCCGUAAUUCUACUAUGCGCAAACAUAUGGUCCAAUGCGUAGAACUCCAUACAUAUUCCUUCAUUUUGAAUGGUUCUGAAGAAAAGAAUAAGAUCCAGAUUUCCAGAAAAAUCAUAUUGACGACGAGUAGGUUCAUGUGCAUUCCAAAAAACAUAAGUCUCGAUUGCAUCAAGACCUCUUUCUUUGCCCUUCUUUAUAAGAUUCGGCCACAUCUAAAUUUGACAAAGUAACAACAAAAAAUGUAGUUAAUUAACAAUCCUAUUAUGCUAAACAUAUAUAAUAGAUUAACUACUAACGUAGAUAUAAGCUGAUAUGUAAGUUACCUCAUCGGUACUACAAAAGUAAUGGAUAGAACCAGAGAGAAGAACUCGACGAUGACCAUAAAUAGUGAUGGCACAACCAUCGUGAGAGACGAUUGUGGCAUAUGCACAACUACUUACUACGAGACAACACAAAAGUGUACCUAACAGACGUUUCUCCGACAAGAAAAAAUCAGCUCGUUAUCCCUAUUAUUGUGGGUUUAAUUAUUUGUUAUCUUUUUACUUAGAAAUUUUUUUAUCUGACUUGGUAAACACCGAAAAACAAAAAAAAAUGUUUAGUUGUAGUUUCAGAUAAGUUUUGUUUUUCUUAUUGAGCUUUUAAUAGAUU